RNA transcript from Argiope bruennichi, 4080 nucleotides. It is a transcript of the gene named FYN-binding protein 1-like, with no coding region annotated. The transcript has 13 exons. The record is from RefSeq and is a predicted model, not a curated record. NCBI's taxonomy places the organism in Eukaryota, Metazoa, Arthropoda, Arachnida, Araneae, Araneidae.
CUUGGUAUGUUGCCACGCUCUCUUCACGGUGGAUGAAACCGACAAUGGAAUCAUGUUUUAUUUAUGUGUUCUUUGACGGUAUGGACCCGAAGAAGAUGGCCACUCAGUUGUGAAUCGCGCCACGAGAAAGGAUGUGUUGACCUUUUCAGUGGAGACAAAGUUCAGUGGCUGUUUGUGAGUCCGCAUUAUCAUAGUUUUGAAGGGAUUAGACGUUCUGAGGGAAGCGGGUUGGGACGUGUCAAAGUUUUCGCUUAAAGUUGGACGUUUGUCAGAUGCGUGCUAUACAGCCACCUAGUGCCCUUCCAACCAUGGCAGAUGAUUCUCCUGGGAAAGUUCAGGCCCUGCGAGCCAUUUUCUCCGAGAAGAACAAGCCAGUCAUGGGCAUCAUGCCACCGGGUGGAAAAAUCCCCAAUAGACCCUGGAAAAAUACUAUCGAAGCGAACGACGAAACUAACAUUACUUUAAAAGAACGAUCGAUCCCUGAACUGAAGUUUUCUCAACCUAUAACCAAAGUCCUGCCAGUCAGGAAAUCCGAAAUCAUUUCCUCCGCCAAUGGCGACCCGCACAAAGACAUUAAUGGGCUCAGUGAGAAGGCACCCAAGCCUUCUGUGGGGCCCAAACCCACCUACCUGUCUCAGCAGGUGAGGACUCAUCAGGACAAUUCUUGUGAUACAAAAAACGAGGACAAUCAUACGAGGAUUGGCGACGGACACGCUUUACUUAAAUCGCAAGCGAAAUCCAAAGCUGUUGCAGAAACAAUCGCGUCCUUCAUGUUUGCCAAUGGCUUCCACCACAAGCCUUCUACCGGCCCUGUUCUGACCGAGGAAAAGAACAAAAACUCUAAAGUGCCGCCGCCUAUUCCUAUGCCUCGGAAUUCCCAAGGGCAGCACGAGCUUCAAACCGAGCUUCUCAACUUGUGCAACUCGCAGAACAGUGAAAAACAUUCGAAAAGUGAAACAGAAGCGCUUAUCAUCAAUUCUGAUAAUUAUAUAUGUAAAAGCAAUUGUAAUUUUAGAAGAAAAGAACUGCCUCCCCUUGAAACACUUGGGCCACCUCCUUUGAAACCGACCAGGCCUAUUCACAUGGUGCUCCCAGAGAAAUAUCGCCUUUCAAAAGUUUCUACUAACAACAGUACAUCUCAGCCACCCCUCACGUCGCCGCCCGCCAUUCCCCAGAGGCCUGCUCCUCAGCGGCCAUCUUAUCCCUGCCCGCCGAGACCCCACACCCCUCCACCUCUACCACCUGUAGCUGGCCGGCUUAAUCUGUCGCUCAGGGAAGAAAUCGAAGAGCUGUAUGAAGACACAGUCUUGGAGGAACACAAGCGGCCUGUCUCGCUCAUACCCGAAUAUACAGAAGAAGAAGAAGCGGCAGAAGAGCUGUACAACGACGCUGAACCUUCAGAGGAAAGCUUGAUGUCGCCGCCACCGCUGAAACCCAGAGAUCCACCCCCGCCCUGCCCUUCUGAAUACCUGCAGCCAAAUGUUCACAAUUCAACUGAGGAAUUAUAUCAAGAUGCUGACGAAGUGAAUGACGACGAAUUUUAUGAAGUCAUGCCUUGCGACGUGUUUUCAGAGGAAUCCGGCUCUCCACUCUACAGCAACAACAAGAAGGAAAUCGAAAAGCUGCGACGCGAAGAAGAAAAGAAGCUGCGCAAAGAGCAGAAGGAGAGAGAAAAGAGAGAGAAGGAGAUGGAGAAACUCAAAAGAAAGUUCGGUCUGACCGGAGAUGAAAUCCCGAUCGAUGACGGGUUGGUCAAGAUGGAUAGUCGUGGCAGCCGAAGUGGGGAUCUUCCAGUCAAGAGAGGGGAGACAGUGCUCAUUCUUCGAAUGGAAGGAAAUCCUCAAGGAAGGUGGCUGGUCAAAAACGAGAAGGGUAAAAUUGGCUACGUGGAACUGACAAACAUUGAGGUAGACCCACAAUCCGUAAAAUCUGCAGUCGCAGCAUUCGAAGAAGCUACAUGUACAACUCCCCUAGAGAAGAACGUAAAUUGGUUGUCUAAAAUCACUGCUUGUGUGAGGUGAUGACAAUAAGAAGAUAUUCUGUGAUUAGUGCAAGCGAGGAGUUGUACAGUGAAGCAAGAUCUGAAGAAGAAGGUAUAUAUGAAGUCACAUACUAGGAGUGAAGAAAAAUGUCAACAAGAAUCUCAUAAGAAUACUCAUGGGAAAAACUGAAAGUUUUAUGAAGAAGUUACACAACUCUUUUAUGUGAUUUUGUUGUAAAAUCCAGAACGAAACCAAAGAAUACUUAGAGUAAAUAUAGAAAAAACAGUUUGCAAAGAAAAAAAGAAGAAGAAAAACAAUAUUAAAAAUUGGAAAUAAUGAAUAUUUUAGAACAGAUUCAUUCAAAAUGUUGUUUUAACCCGUUAUGCUACUUGUACAGUUAUUUUACUUUGUCAUUCAUAUCCACUGAAUUGAAUGAUUAUCUUUCAAAAUGCUUAAGAUAAUUUCAGUACUUUUUAUUGAACUGAAGGGUACAUUUCAAAUAAUUGUACAGGUAUCUUUUUGCUUAUAAAAUGUUAUAACUUCUAUUUUUAUAUAAAAGAAAUAAAAUAUUUUAAAGAUAAUACAUUUAAAAAAAUAUGUAUAUAUGACUGAAAAUUAAUAUCUAUCAAUAGAAAUGCUACUGUUCACUUAAAUUUGCACAGUUUUAUAAUAUUGUUAUCUUUCUUAAGAUACAUUUUCAAUAUUAUUUAUGAUAAUUUAAUAGACAAAAAAAAUUGUAUCAAGAUAUUUUGGAUAUGUUUCCUUUCUCUCUACUUAUUUUCAUGAAAACUAUAGACAUUAUUGAACUAUACAUAUUUAUUUUAUAUACAUUGUUAACUUUAGUUAUUCAAUGUUAAACUAAAUAGCUGUUAUAUUUGUACAAUAUAUACAAGAUUUAUAUAAUUUAUUGUUCAGAACUUUGUAAUUAUUAUAGUUUAUUUAUUGCAAAAAUGAAAACCUGUUUGACGGCACUUUCCUUAUUAGCAAAUGGGGGAUAAAUGAGAUCUAUUUACCUGUUGGAAUUUUUCUCCCUUCACCUUUUUCGUCUUCAUUCAUAGUAUGACGCACUUUGUGUUCAGUUUCAGUGAAGAAAAUUUAAUCACCAUUUUACUUAUCUAUAUCUCUUUGAUAGGUUGCGUCCAAUAUUUGGUCAUAUAAACAAUUUCAAUUUCCGGUCCAUAUGGAAAUUUCAUUUACCUUUAUGUUACGCCCCCCCCCAUGAGGGGUUUGGUUUAAUUAGAUUUACGACCUAUUUCGAAGUACACUACCUCUUUACAUGGCAAAAGCCGUUUUUGGAGUAGAUCUAAUUUUGAACCAUGGUCAGAUAACAAGGAUAACACCCGAGUCGACAACCAAACUUUUCCACCACACUAGCAGAAGGACCUUUAACCCCAAGGGACUUAUCAGAUUCGAUUACUUGGCAGUUUCGGUGGGAUCGGGAAUCCUCACAUCAUGUAACCAAGAUCUUACCUCCAAGCCACUAUGUCCUGAAGGAAGCAUAUCACAAGUUUGUUCAUGAGAAGUAAGUUACUGCCUUCACUUUGAUGAUGGAACGUACUUCUUGCAGGAGGAGAUGAAUUGUGGCCUUUGUUGAAUAUUACAAUCCUACCAAAAGUCUCUGUUGAGUACCUGAUCUGAUGAGUAUCAUUCAGAUGACUAUAAAAUGGGCAUAAGCUUACUUGUGAUUAUAAUGUUAAUAUGCACAAGAAGGGAUUUGCUUCAUAAUGGGUUCAGUAGAAUUAAUGCAAUUUCAAAAACGUCUUUUUCUAAUUGGGAGAGAUUUAAAAUGUAGAGAAUUUUCAGCAUCUUGAAGUUGAAUUUUUUGAUGAUUCUAUUAAAUAUUUUCUGUAUUCUUCACAUAUGAAAGAAUAACACUUCUAAAAGAGCAACUUUAAAAGAUACAAUGAGGUGUGACCGUGAAUGGAUUUGUUUGAAUGAGACAUCACAAAUCGCAUUUUUUGCAAUGAAAACAAUAUACAGGGUGUCCACUCUAAACACGAUUCAGUGGUCAAUUUCUAAACCAUUAGAUAAGUAUAUAUUUUCUAUUGGAAAAAAUUUCUCUUACGUCUAAAAGAAUUAUAUAUAUAUAUAUAUAUAU